ACAUGCAAGUCGAACGGUGAACACGGAGCUUGCUCUGUGGGAUCAGUGGCGAACGGGUGAGUAACACGUGAGCAACCUGCCCCUGACUCUGGGAUAAGCGCUGGAAACGGCGUCUAAUACUGGAUAUGUGACGUGACCGCAUGGUCUGCGUCUGGAAAGAAUUUCGGUUGGGGAUGGGCUCGCGGCCUAUCAGCUUGUUGGUGAGGUAAUGGCUCACCAAGGCGUCGACGGGUAGCCGGCCUGAGAGGGUGACCGGCCACACUGGGACUGAGACACGGCCCAGACUCCUACGGGAGGCAGCAGUGGGGAAUAUUGCACAAUGGGCGCAAGCCUGAUGCAGCAACGCCGCGUGAGGGACGACGGCCUUCGGGUUGUAAACCUCUUUUAGCAGGGAAGAAGCGAAAGUGACGGUACCUGCAGAAAAAGCGCCGGCUAACUACGUGCCAGCAGCCGCGGUAAUACGUAGGGCGCAAGCGUUAUCCGGAAUUAUUGGGCGUAAAGAGCUCGUAGGCGGUUUGUCGCGUCUGCUGUGAAAUCCGGAGGCUCAACCUCCGGCCUGCAGUGGGUACGGGCAGACUAGAGUGCGGUAGGGGAGAUUGGAAUUCCUGGUGUAGCGGUGGAAUGCGCAGAUAUCAGGAGGAACACCGAUGGCGAAGGCAGAUUCUUCUGGGC
RNAcentral lists this ribosomal RNA (672 nucleotides) under Microbacterium oxydans. RNAcentral describes it as "bacterial SSU rRNA". It matches the Rfam family "Bacterial small subunit ribosomal RNA", at positions 53 to 734 of the family's 1533-position model. Lineage: Bacteria; Bacillati; Actinomycetota; Actinomycetes; Micrococcales; Microbacteriaceae. The record is from RNAcentral.